Molecule: non-coding RNA, 24998 nt
Organism: Oryctolagus cuniculus (rabbit)
Lineage: Eukaryota; Metazoa; Chordata; Mammalia; Lagomorpha; Leporidae
Source: RefSeq, a predicted model, not a curated record
CGGGGGGUGGGGGCAGGGGCAGGGGUGGGCGCGGGCCGGCGGCCCUGCGGAGGGCCCCUCGGGCCUCCAGGUGCUUCGCGGGGUGGCCCUUGGACGGGCCUGCCGGGGGCUGGCAGGCCCGUGCACUUGCCCUGGCGUCUCAGAAAGACCAGCGUUUGAUCUGGAUUCCUGGCCACGCCUUUUUGGCCCGGAGAGGCCUGGGUCCUGCUGUUUGCCUGUCUUCAUCCCUGGUUUCGCACUUAGCGGAGACCCUGCCUCCUCCUCCUCUCCCCUCCUCCUCUGCAGAACUCUGUAUCCCUGUUGUCCCCUUGCCUUCCAUCCCAAGGUAACCAGCCGCUAGCGCUUUCUCUCUGCACCCGGGUUCGCGUCCUGGCGCGCAGGGCUCCGCGGGUGUGUGUGUGUGUGUGUGUGUGCGCGCGCGCGUGUGUGCGUGCCUUCCUGGAGCCGGUUUCACUCGGUUUUGUCCCCCAGCGAAACAUCGUCCCCUGUCCCCCUCGUUUUCUCGCCGCAGUGGCUUGUGUGGGGGCCCAGUGGAAGAACCCCCGCUGCCUCUCCUUUAUUCCACGCCCCCUCCCCCUCCUGCAAUCCCAGCCCCUGCCAGGGACUCCCGGCCGCUGCCCUCCUUGAGGGAAAGGACUUUUUGUUUUUGGUUUUGCUGGAUUAGACGUGCCCUUUGCUCAGUGACGGGUAAAAAUCGGGUAGUGUGUGACGAGCGGAAGCGUUCGGUGUUCCCUCUCACGUCCAGAAAAUCAGUCCCCUGGACGCUUGGGUCACUGUUCGGGUUGCCAGGCCGGUGUCUGACUCCUGGGUAUGAGGAGUAUUGAUGUUGGCUUUGCAGCCCUUUCCUCUUUGGCGAUGUUUCUCUUCUGCGAAGUGAUCCCUGGAAAACCACUUGCAGAUGCUCUUUUUGCCAGGAGCUCUGACUGCCUACUUCACCUGCUAAACCCAGGGAACGAGCUCGUUAAAACCUUAGUACAUCUGCAGCCUGCGACUUACAGCAGCUUGAGAGCAUGGUGGGAAUCGUAAGUUUAGGUGAGAGCAUUCGCAGGAGGAAAAAUCUUACCGAAGGUAAAUGACACAGGGGAGAGCUCUUCAGGUACAAGGCUUCUGGGAGAAGACAUUUUCCCAGACUGCCAUCCCUUGGAGAUGUGAUGCACUCAGUAUUUCAGGUCACCAAGAUAGAUUCAGGUUCUUAAACCUACUAGAUUUUAGGCAACUCAUUUUGGAUCCCUAAGCUAGGCUCAGGUUCCUACACCCCGGGGGGGAUUUUAGGCACUGUAUAUUUCAGGUGGCUGAGGUAGACCCUGGUUAGCUGAAAUUGAAUUCAUUGUCUUUUGAAUGGUGUGUCCUGAUCUCUGUUCAGAAUUUUAAAUAAAGGGAAGAAUGGAAAGGAAUGAAGUUACCUGGAGAGUGAAUUCCAGAACUUUGUCCUGCAGAAUUUACAUGCAGAUUCUGGAGCGGGAAGGGAGGGUGGGUCUGGAUUCUGCUGGUUCUCCCGGGGCUGUGCUGGUGUCCCUAGGUUGUUUGCAGCCCUUUUCUCUGGCUGCAUUUGUCUGCAGAUAAUUUGUUUCCUGCUGAUAUAUUUAUAAGAAGAGGGAAGAUAAAAUAGAAAAAGUGAUGACUAACUUUUACCUGUUAUGAAUAUAAUUUGGAAACUGGUAGGAUGCACAGCAUGAAGAAGAAGAGGGACAAAAAGUACAGGAGAGAGAGAUUUUGAACAGCAUGUAUGUAACAACUGGACCAACACACUGAAGUCAUCUAGGUUUAUGUCUGAGAUUCCUUAAGUGUAAAGUACAAAGGUUGGUGUUGGGUUAGAAUCCCUGAGAGAACUGUUGCUGUUGUAAUCCGGCCUGGACGUUUUUAUGAGUAGCGCACUUGUGGGACGGAAUAAAUUCGGGGUUGAGCUUCACCAUCUCUUUAGGCAGACUAAUUCCCCGCCUCCCCUCAGCUGAUUGCCUUCAGGCAGAGUUCAUGGAAGCCCAGGUUUGAGGACAACUGAAAAUUACAAUCCAAGUGUAAAUUUAGCUUUCGUAGCUGUUUAAAUAAGGUACUAUUUUUUCGAUCUUUAUUUCACUUUGAAGGCCUGUGUGUGUGUGUGUGUGUGUAAAUCUAUAUACUUUUAUAUAUAUACACACAUACACAUAUACAUGAACUUAAAGGAUGCUGUGUUUUGGCUGUGUCUACUUUAUGAAAGUUAUUUUUUGAGAUUAGAAUGUCUCAAGUAUUUCAUAAAGUUAAGAUAUUAAAAGGCAGGCUAAUUCAGCUAAGUUAUUUCUUCUACCAUAGCUAUACUUUAAAAGUAAUACUGAAGAAGGAUUUUUUAAAAAAUUUUAUUUUUCCAGUAGGCUGAUUUUACUCGAAAUACUCGAGGAGCAAGAUCUGCUUUUUUAAUACGUGCUAGCAUGUUGCUUGCAUCAAAAUCAUUCAUGUGUAAGAGCUUUAGAGGAAGAUUUUUAUUCUUUAAUCUUUUGGCAAACGUUUGCUUGUUGGUGUGUGUAAGCAUACAUCAUCCUUUACUGUGGGUCUUUUGAGGUUACGGUUGUUUCUUUUAAUCAUAUUUGCUACUUAGAUUUUGUUCUUUCCUGUGGUCACAUGACAUAAAGGUUCUGUAUGGUCAGGGAAUUUUAUCAUUUGAUUUGGGCCGCAUGUCUAAGAAAAGAUGUCAGUGAGGCUGUGCGCUGUCAAGACUGAUGCAUUAAACCAUGACUACCUCUGCUCACCUACUUCUCCUUGUUGUCCUGGAGAAGUGUGGGACUCUCAUUGGGCAAAACACAGUGCCAAUUUUGGAAAAUGCAGUGUCCUGUGCCAAGCAGGUGGCACGCUUCCUGUCAAGAGGGCAACCACUUGACAUCUCUUUCACCAGAUGACCUCACAACGUGAGAAAAUAUUAUGGGCUGGGCCAAGAUUGGAGCAAGGGCGAGUAGCUGUCUGUGGGAGGGUUUGGUGUGGUGAACCUGUGUCUUCAGAGCGAGCACCUGUGUGAUUACGGUCUGUUUCAGGCCAACUUUCCCCUCCCUAAUGACAGAACGUGCAGCUUGCUCUGUGGCUCUGGGUGCUCUGUUUUUGUGUGCUUUUCCCAGGGAUGAUGGGCGUCUGAGUCACCCAAACCAGGAAUAUGAGUCACAUGAGGCUUCAUUUUUGCACAGUGUGGUGUUAUUAGAAAGUGCGAUCAUUUUCUUGGAUGUUUGACAUUAGGAAUCCUGUUGUUGUACGUGUUUUCCUUCCAUGUAUAACUUCCUUUGAUUUUGUGCACCUUUUAGAGGGUGCUUAAGGUGUGCCUGUGGUUGUCAGCAAUUCUCUGACUAAAAUUUCAUGUGAGUGCAUGAUGUCUCAGACAAAUCAUUAAUCUCCCUUUUAAUCUAUUUUUAUGUCUGUGUGUGUGCCCCUGUGUUUCAUGGAAUAAAGUAGCAUUUAAAUUCUUUGUGGUGUUGCCCAUUUUCAAAGUGAAGGUCAGCUGUCUCUUCUCUUGGUAGGAGAAGGAGGGUAGAGGUUGCUUUCAAGGCAGAGAAAGGGAAAGUCGUUUCACAUUUCAUCAGGGCGCCAUCCCCCUGCACGGUGGAAAGCUGUGUUUCAGUGUUUUGUUCUGUUCUGAGACUUCUCUGUUAUACAGGGUUCUCUGUAUAAUCAGUGGUGAAUGUUGCUAUACUGAGUAGGAUGCUUUCUUUAGCCAGUCCCCCUGCCCCCUCCUCCACUUCCAUAUGUAGGAAUACUAUGGAUCUUUGCUUAUGUUGAAUAUUUAAAAAUAGUAGUUCUUAAUUCUGGCUGAGAAUAGAACUUACUGCAGCUUUAGAAAUCGAAGUGCCCAGCGCGGCUGCAGUGCUGAAGAGGCCUCCCACGCGGAACCCGACCACAGUUCUGGAAGCUCCACAGGUGAUCGGGUGGGCAGGCCGGCUUGAGAAUUGGGUUUCAGGCUUCUUGCGCUUGAGGAUGGAUGUUGGAUUUGUGUUCUUAAUGUGAUGAGACGUUUGGGGAAGGAAUGAUUUGGCACUGUGAGCUUUGGACCCUGGACAACGCCGCCGCCGUAACAGUGCCUGCACCUCGAAAGCGUGGGUGUCUAAGAGUACUUGGGAAUGGCCCAGGGGUGUGCGGUUAAGGUUCCCAGUGUUUUCUGUUUCUUUAAGCCCAAUUAUGAAUUUCAUUCUGAAAGGAUUCUCUGAUUCAAAACAGUCUUCAAUUAAUGUGGCCCACUUCUUUGGCUUUUAUGUGAUACAGAUAGCACUUUUAUGAAUAUGUUGCAUGUAAAAGUAUAAUCUGUUUAAUUUUGAAGUGAUGGACUUACAGUGGUGUUAAGUGAUUGGUAAUGCCCCUGUAGCGCUAACGUGUGUGUUGUGAUUUAAGAAUGGAAAUAUAUUUUAUAAAUAAGGAAAUUCUCUUGUGUGGCACCAGGGUGCCUGCCACAGUCACAUUAAAGACUGUAUAUACAUGUAUUUGUGUGUGUGUGUGUGUGUGUUGGGAACUUUGUAUCUGCUUAUUAAUUGUUGGGAACUCUCAAUGCUGUAAAAGUAGCAUUUUUUUUUUUUUUUUUUUGACAGGCAGAGUGGACAGUGAGAGAGAGAGACAGAGAGAAAGGUCUUCCUUUGCCGUUGGUUCACCCUCCAAUGGCCGCCGCGGCCGGCGCCCUGCGGCCGGCGCACUGCACUGAUCCGAUGGCAGGAGCCAGGUGCUUUUCCUGGUCUCCCAUGGGGUGCAGGGCCCAAGGACUUGAGCCAUCCUCCACUGCACUCCCUGGCCACAGCAGAGAGCUGGCCUGGAAGAGGGGCAACUGGGACAGAAUCCGGCACCCCGACCGGGACUAGAACCUGGUGUGCCGGUGCCGCAAGGUGGAGGAUUAGCCUAGUGAGCCGCGGCGCCGGCCAAAAGUAGCAUUUAAAGAAGUUUAUCCGUAAACUUAAUGGAAUUCUGGUUAAAAAUUCAGCAGAUUCCUUCCUUCCUUCCUUCCUUCCUUCCUCUUCCUCUUCCUCUUCCUCUUCCUCUUCCUCUUCCUCUUCCUCUCUCUCUCUCUCUCUCUUUAGGAGAAAGGAGUGAAUUUGGUCUAAGAAAAGUGAAUGUGAGUAGUCCAAAAAACUUUAAAAAAAGAUACUGAGACUUACCUGUUCGUAUGUGUGCUUUAGUUUCACUGGUAGACCAUCGCGCCGUUGGUGGAAGAAUUCAACGCGGUGCAGGAGAAUGGAUUCUGUGGAGCCCAGUAAUGCUGUGUUCGUGAGGAUUUAGUAUAUGGCGAAGGUGGCGUUUCUAAUCAGUGAAUGCAAAGAUAGUUUCUUAACAAGUGAUACUGGGGCAGUUGACUACCUGGUUGAAAAAAAAAAGAUGGAUCUCUACCUUACCCGAAUAAAAAUUCUAAAAGAAUUAAAGAUGGAAACAAAAUAUUACUGUAAAACCACUGGAAGAAAAUGGCAGUGGGCAAGAUCUUUCGGCCCCACAUAAAGAUGCCUCAUAUGAUUUUUCCCUUUCUCCUACCUGAAAAAUCUUAACUACAUGGUUAGCUAUGAGGGUAGAAAGAUGUAGACAGAAAUACUUCCUCAAGGAGAAUGACUAUAAAGAGUACUUCGCUGAAGAUAAUUUCUUUUCUUGGUGAUUAGUAAAAGUAAAAACGUGAAAUUUAUGGUGAAUUUUCAAAGAAUGUGAUGAAAAAAUGGCUUGCUUUGGAGUAAAGUUGUAACUAGUGGUGAAGCGUAGAAUUUUUAGAAUGAUCCAGAAACAACAUCAACAUUUAUAUCACAGAAGUCUAGUCUGGAUUCUGAAAUCCACUAGGAAUAUGUCAGAAAUCACAGGUGUUCAUAGCAAUGUCAUUUGCUUAGAUUUUUACAGACUUUAUCCAUAAGGGCAGUCAGUUAGGCUGAUGUAAGGAGAACAUUCUGGAAUGUUGGAAUGAUUCUGUGGGAUGUGAAAGUGUUGCUUUAGUCAUGGGAUGGUUGAUGUUCCGGUUUACUCUGUGCAAACAAGUCUGUGACUAAAAUUUCAGUUUAGUCUCCAUGAUCUAUGUAUCUAGUUCCUUCUAGUCAGAAAGUCUGCAUUUCUUAUUUGGCUCUGAAAGAGUUAAGCAUUUUGUUAAAUUAUGAAACUAAUUUCAUUUAAAAAGUUCAAUGAAUUGUCUAAUUGCCUAAAGACCACUAUUGGAGAUUUAAAAAAAAAAUCACAGGAUAAAACAUGGCAUAAAGGAAGCACACAUUGAAGCUAAGAAAUCAGGUUUGUCACUCUGCAAUUUACAAACAGCUGCUGGUUUCAGAUUCCCCAUAUUUAUCAAAUAAGGAGUUAAAUUGAUCUCUCAUGUCCCUUCAGUUUUAAAAAGUCCAUUGUAUCAUAGGUAUUAGUGUUCUGAAAAAAGUUUAUUUUUCAUUUUUUUAAAAUACUUAUUUUUUGAAAAUUUAUUAUUAUUCAUUUGAAAGUCUCUCUAAAGAGGGAGAGACAGAGAUCUUUCAUUCACUGGUUCACUCCUUAGAUGGCCAUUGCUGGGCCAGGUGGAAGCCAGGAGCCAGAAGCUUUUCUGCCAUUCUCCCACAUGGGAGCAGGGCCUGUGCACCUGGGCCCUCCUCCACUACUUUCCCAGGCCACCAGCAGGGAGCUGGAGCGGAAGUGGAGCAGCUGGGACACAAACCAGCACCCACAUGGGAUGCUGGCAUUGCAGGCAGUGGCUUUAACUGCUAAGCCAAUGCUGGCCCUGAAAAUAGUUUUUUUUUUUUUUUUUUAAAGAUUUAUUUAUUUGAAAGGCAGAAUUACAGAGAGAGGGAGAAAGAGAGAGAGGUCUUCCAUCUGCUGGUUCAUUCUCCAGAUAGCCACAGUGGCCGAGCUGGGCCGAUCCGAAGCUAGGAAGGAGCUUUUUCCAGUGCACUUCCGCCGUCUUGCUGCUUUCCCAGGCCAUUAGCAAGGAGCUGGAUCAGAAGUGGAGCGACUAGCACUCAAACUGCUGCCCAUAUGGGAUGCCAGUGCUGCAGGCGGAGGCUUUACCUUCUACACCACAGCGCCAGCCACUCUUUUUUUUUUUUUAAAGAUUUAUUUUACUAUUUGAAAGAGUUACAGAGAGAGGCAGACACAGAGAGGUUCUCCAUCUGCUGGUUCACUCCCCAGAAGGCCGCAAUGGCCGGAGCUCUGCUGAUCCGAAGCCAGGAGCCAGGAGCUUCCUUUGGGUCCCCAUCGCUAGUGCAGGGCCCCAUGCACUUGGACCACCUUCCACUGCUUUCCCAGGCCAUAGCAGAGAGCUGGAUUGGAAGAGGAGCAGCCAGGACUAGAACCUGUGGCCAUAUAGGAUGCUGGUGCCCCAGGCCAGGGCCUCAACCCGCUGUGCCACAGCACCAGCUCUGUCCCUCAUUAUUUUUAAAUAAAGAUUAUUUAUUUGAAAGGUAGAGGAGGAUGGGGCAGGAGAAGAGACAGAAUUCUUCUCACCACUGGUUCACUCCCCAAAUGGCUGCAACAGCCAGGUCUGGGCUAGGCUGAAGCUAGGAGCCAAGAUUACUCCAUCCUGGUCUCCCACAUGUAUGGCAGAUACCCAAACACUUGGGCCGUCAUCUGCUGCUUUCCCGGGAGCAUUAGCAGGAAGCUGAAUCAGAAGCAGAGCAGCUGGGACUUGAAUCAACACUCUCAUAUGGUAUGCUGGUAUUAAAAGUGGAGGUUUAACCUGCUGCAGCAUAGUGCCCAGUCCCCUCAUUGUUUUUAUUUUACUUAAAGAACUUGAUUUCCAUUUUACUUGAAAGGUAGAGAUAAAUAUAGAGAUGAGAGAUCUUCUCUCUGUUCGUUCAUUCCCCAAACAUCUGCAACAGCCAGGGCUGGGCCAGGCUGAAGCCAGGAACCUGGAACCCAAUUCAGGUCUCCCCACAUUGGUGCCAGGGACACAUACUUGAACAUUAUCUGCUUCAAUUAGCUAGAAUCUGCAUUGGAAGUGGAGGAAGGAUGCAGGUGUCCUAAGUGUUGUCUUAACUGCUGGGUCAAGUGCCCUCCCCAAAUCCUCAUUACUUUUAAUACUUUGUUAUCUAUAGGGGCAUUUAUGCAUCUCACUGGUUUAUGUUGAAUUUAUAGCAGACCAUGCUUCCUGGGAAUCUUGUUUCAUGCUAGUGUAUCAGCAGAUUUUGUGAAUUUGGUUUCAAGUUAAAGCCAGUUUUCUGUAAUUUUCAGUUUAAACUUUUUGCUGUUAGAAUAAGCUAACCCAAUGCAUAUAUCUGUUCAAGGCAUAUAUUUUGUAAGAUUUUUCUAAAGUGCUUGCCAAGAUUAUUUCCAUUUUAUAGAAGGACCACAAAAUUAUCUGCGAUUUAGUGUUUGCUGUGUGUUCUUUAACUUUGAAAAGUUAGUGUUUAUAGAUCUUAAAAAAUACUUUCCACAUCAUUUUUGAGCUUUUCAAGGAAAUAUUCAUAAUUCUAAGUGAUUUAUUUUUCUUAGAUUAAGUAUAGGUUCUCUUUGUGGUUUUAAUCUUUGGGAAAGAUGGAAUUUGCUUGGAGGGUUCAGUGAACAUUUUACAAAAUUGUUUAUUUCUACAUAAAAUUCAACCUUAGAUUUUAUUUUUAUAGCUUAAUAUGGAUAGGUCUUGGUAUGUUGUAUUAUUUUAAUAUAGCUUUAAAACAAGUCAUAGCACCUUAACAUACUUGGUUUAUUGCUAAAAAAUUAUUGUAUGUCUUUUUAUUUUGAAAUAUACAAGUGGUUUUCAAGAUAAUUUUUGUUUGCAUGCAGAAUUUGUCUUUAUUUAAUGUGAGAAAGUGUUUCUAUUAUCUUGAUCAUUACAGAGCAUGGAUGUGCUCAUCACUCAUUUUUUUCUUUUUAUUUGGAAGUCAGAGUUACAGUGAGAGAUGGAGAGAGAGGGAGAGCGAGCUUCCAUCUGCUGGUUCAUUCCCAAGAUGGCUGCAGUAGCCUAGGCUGAGCCAAGCUGAAGCCAGGAACCAGGAGCUUCAUCUGUGUCUCCCAUGUGGUGGGUGCAGGGGCCCAAGCACUUGGGCUACCUUCUGCUACUUUCCCAGGCCAUUAACAGGGAGCUGGAUUGGAAGUGGAGCAGCUGGGAUACCAAUUCGUGCCCAUGUGGGAUGCUGGCAUCACAGGCGGAGGCUUUACCCGGCACACCACAGUGCCGGCCCCUCAGCACUCAUUUCUAGGAAAAAAAAUUAGACUACCUCUUCCACAGGAAGAAAAAGAUAACAGCUUUCUUCACACCACUCUUUGAAGGGAAGUAGGAAUUGAUAAUUAUUGUUUACCCUGGCCACACGCUUUCAAAGAAUAAUGGGUACAUGGCCUAGAAACUUUGUCACUAUUAUACCCCCCCUUUCAUUCCAUCUUAAAAAUCAUGGAAUAAGUGAUCAAAGGGGAGUCAAGAGUGUAGGCACAGCUGACUUCUCUUCAACUGCUUUUUCAGGUGGGGCCCCAGAAUCCUCUGUGUUAUCGUAGCCCAUGGAGCUUGUUAGCAGGCAGACUCCCUGCCUUUCUACAAAAGGGAAUUGAGCCAGGGAAAGUGCAUUUUUGCACAUUCUUUAUUGUGGAAGCUUUUGAGCAUGCAGAGAAGUAGAGGCGUGUACUGAACACCUGUUAUUGUUCAUCCGGAUUCCGUAGUUGUUGAUAUGGAUAGUUGUGUGUGUAUUUAACAUGCAUCAUGAUGGUGAGAACUUCAUCUCAGGUGCGACAUAUGUGGAAUAAUUCUACCUGGCUACAAUGCAAUUUUCCCACCUAAGGAAAUUAACUGUACUUGCAUAAUUACUAAUUCUGUAUAAUCAUCUAAUAGCUGCUUUUGUAUAUGGACUUACUCAGUUGUCCCCAACCAUGUCUUUUGUAAGUUUUUUUCUUCCCUUCCAAACAGGGGUUUUUAUCAAAAUUCAUACUUUACACUUAUGUUUUUGUAGCUAUAGAAACAUUUCUUUUUUCUCCCAUUUUUUUUUUAAAGCAUGCAAUGCUGUUCUCUUGUCUGUUCUCUUUUUGGAUUGCUUAGUUGUUUUUCUGUAGGUGUCAUUUGCCCUGUGUUUCUGAUAAACUUGAACUUGACUUGAGAAGCUAGAUUAUAUUAAGGCUACAUAUUGUUGUCAGAAGUAUUGCCUUGUUUUGUUUUUAAAGAUUUAUUUAUUUGAAAGGCAGAGUUACACAGAGGCAGAGAGAGAGAGAAGUCUUCCAUCCGCUGGUUCACUCCCCAAAUGGCUGCAACCUCCAGAGCUGGGCCGAUCUGAAGCCAGGAGCCAGGAGCUUCCUCUGGGUCUCCCAUGUGGGUGCAGGGGCCCAAGGACUUGGGCCAUCUUCUACUGCUUUCCCAGGCCAUAGCAGAGAGCUGGAUUGGAAGUGGAGCAGCCGGGACUCAAGCCAGUGCCCAUAUGGGAUGCCGGCGCUUCAGGUGGCAGCUUUACCUGCUGCGCCACAGCACCAGCCCAGUACUGCCUUCUUGUUUCAUGUUACAUCACAUCAGUAAGCACCAAUAUACCUGGCUCGUCCUGUUAUUGUUAGUGCUAACUUUUAUCUCUUGGAUAGGUUCUGAUGCUAGAUUUCUCCAUAUAAAGAACACUCUUCUUUUGGCAAUCAGUAACUUAUGCAUGGGGUCUUACUCUGCAAGAGUCUUGUUUCCUGUAAACCUUUUACCUUAAGGUUUUAGUAUCCAUUGAGAAUCCUUGCCUGAAUCAGUUAUUAAAUUGUUGAUUGGCUGGGGGUGGAGGUGUGUGAUGGGAUUUGUAUUUUAAUUUUAUUAUUAUUUUUGACAGGAAGAGUUAGAAAGUGAGAGAUAGAGACAGAGAGAAAGGUCUUUUUGACAGGAAGAGUUAGACAGUGAGAGAGAGAGACAGAGAGAAAGGUCUUCCUUUUCCGUUGGUUCACCCCCCAAAUGGCUGCUACGGCCGGCGCGCUGUGCCGAUCCGAAGCCAGGAGCCAGGUGCUUCCUCCUGGUCUCCCAUGCAGGUGCAGGGCCCAAGCACUUGGGCCAUCCUCCACUGCCCUCCUGGGCCACAGCAGAGAACUGGACUGGAAGAGGAGCAACGAGGACAGAAUCCAGCGCCCCAACCCGGACUAGAACCCGGAGUGCCGGCGCUGCAGGCAGAGGAUUAGCCUAUUGAGCCGCGGCGCCGGCCGGUAUUUGUAUUUUAAACAAACUCCCAUAAUUCUUUCUUUGAGGUUUGAUAAUCAUAGCUCUACUUGAAUUAGGAUUUACAAGUAAAAAUAAUAAUGAACUGUCCUGAAGAAGUUAGUCUGAAUGUGAGCACUGAUGUUUUCUAACAGAUGGUCAAUGAACAGUAAUGAGUUUAAGCUUCACGCUAGAUUUAGAGGAUCAAAGAUAAAGUAAGCCUCCUGGUUCCCCAGCACCUAGGUUGGGGUUGGAGGGGACUUGUGGGUGAUAGUUGUGGUAAACUGAGGUGAGCAUUCUGAGCAGUAUUAAAUAACGUGUUAGAAUGUGUGACUAGAAUUAAAGGAGUUUGGAGGGGGUAUAGAGAAAUUACUAAGAAGGAAGAGAAAAUGUGUACAAGGGGCUUCAAAAAGCUUAUGGAACGUGAGACUGAAAAAUAGUAUGUGAAUUUGAUGUGAGUUUUUGAGUUGCCUUCAUAUAUUGAAAAUUGUUUUUACAUAAAUGGUCUCAUUUAAUUUUCUCUAGUUUUCCUUGCCCGUUUUACGAUGAAGAAAGGGGUUUAGAGUGGCUAAGUAACCUACGUCUCUGGUAACCAGUGGAGGAAAGUUUGGAGGCAGAGCUUACUGAUGGCAGAAUGAGGCCUGCUGUCUAGGAGACUGCACUGCCUGGAGCCCUGGCAGCCGAGCUGUGGGCAGGCGGAGUUCCUUAGCUUUACUGUGAGACCUCACUGUUUUGGCCUAUUAGAAAGGGAGAUUCUUCCAGGCUUCUGAUUGCCAGUGUAUCGUGUUAGACUCCACAGAGAUUAGGGAGGCUCAGUGCAUUGCAGUUGAUCAUGAUGGUUUCCACAGCUUCGUGUCCCUGGGUCUGCCCUUAGGACAUUGUUUUCAGCACUUGACCCCAGUCUCUUUCUCCGGGUAGAUGCACUUGCGAACUCUGUUAUCUCCACAAACAGGAAUGUGUGUCUUGGACACUACUUAUCCCUGUAGGUCCUAUCUGAAUGCUGCACCCUUGGGUUUGUUCUUUGUCGACUUGUUGGAAACACUGGAGCAACAGUUCUAUCCUUAAGGGUAUAAAACCAGUGUUUUCCAAACCUUGGCUGUGGAAUCACCUAAGGAGUCAGAUAUUUGAGUUCCACUGUCAGGGAUUAUGAGCCAGGAGGUCUGGGUUGGGUCUGAGAAUUUACAUCUUUUAAAGACCUAGGUUUUCAGACAGUUCCCCAAGCAGUGCACAGACAGCAGUUAGUACCAUAGUUGUAGUAGGUUGGUUUCUACCAAUAUUUACAGAGGUGGUUCCCAAGGAGGCAUGUGCAUUAGGAUCGCUUGGGAGGUUUCUGUUUUUUUUUUUUUUUCUGGUAAACUUAAGCUUUAGGCAGGUUAGAGGCAGAGGAGUGGAAUGUGUAACAGAAGCUCUGCAGAUGCUUUUAAUGAAACACCAGAGUAUAAACAGGCUCCGAUUGGGUCUCUUACCUGAAAUAGCUUGGUAAAAAGUGUGUAUUAAUCAAACACUCACAAUUGCUGUAUGUGUACCAUGCCUAACAUCUAGAAUACCGUGAGAACAUUUCGUGUUAAAGCUGUAUGAUGUAUGAUGUGGUAUUCCUUUGAUUCAGAAGCUUCCUUGGCUAUUUGAAGUAUUCAGAGUCGUUAUGAACACAGUGGUCACCAUUGGUGCUCAGAAGUGCCAGAUUAGGGGCAUUUUAUUGUGUUGGGAAAAUCGACAUUCAGUCUAGAGUGAGUUUUGUCUCUUACAUUUUCAGAAAUGAUUGUUAUUUGUUGAAAUCAGUGCCAAAGAUAGGAUUCCUAAAAAGAAGCUGUUGAAUGAAAGUAGAGAAGGGAUCUAAUGGUUAAUAAAUGAGUGUCAUUAGAGAGACAGGAAUGAAGGGAGUAGAGCUUCAUGGAUUCAUGGGGAGAAUAGCUGGUGGGGGGAGGUUAGAGGGGGAGGAGUCAUACAGUAUUUUACUGCUGAUAAGACACUAGGACUGUGUAUUGGCAAGCCUUUCCCAAAUCUACACACACCAAAGUGGAAGCUCAGGGUCAGAAAUCCCAGGAGCUGAGUGGUUGGCAGACAGGGGGCCCAGGAGUGUAUGGACAUGUUCUGGGCAGGCAGGGGUGGAUGCUGUGACAAAUGGAGAUUCUAGAUCAGAUGAGCAAAACUCUGAUUUGUCAUUUUGUUUUGUCAUAAGGAAUGCCACUUUUGAGUAGUCUUCAGCAAUUGAUGGAUAGUCCUGUAGUUUAAGAUUUUGCAGUUUUACCUUCUGUAGGACAGUUUCCCUCAAAGCUGACUCUGGAUGACGACAGUUUGCUUUCCAAAAAUGAUAUUUUCAAAAUUUAAGCAAUGACAAGUGGUUUCAGUUAGACCUGUUUUUGAGGGUGUGCUUUUGGAAUGCAACAAAGGAGAAACUCAAAUGAAGGACCCAUUAAUCUUGUUUGUAGAUUAGACAAAAGUUAUCAAAACAAAGAAGUUAAAAGCAGCUUGUACAUUUGGAAAAAUAGAAUAUUUGUAGUAUUUGUGUACUAAUUCGGAGUUCAGUAGGGACUGCAUAAUCAUUCUUGGGUAGUUUUGAGAUGCAGUAAUUUGUGCGCAGUUUUGGAGGGAAGGGGUUGGUGUCCUUCCUAAGGCGUAAUGGCUACGUGAGAUGGUGGUUGGGCGUGUUCUGUGAUUAGGGUGGAGGCCCGGAAGGCUGCAGUGUAUUACUGUUGUUAUUGCUUGGCGGUCCCACCUCACUCUCUGUAUGUAUUGUAAUGUAGCACAUACCUUGCUGAACCUCUCUGCAAAAUCACACACCAAAAAUAGCAGGACUCGGCGAACAAAAGAGUUAAGGCCAGAGUACUUAAAAUUAUUAAAUUUUGUGGUGUAUUUUGUGGUGUAGCGGGUGGGGCUGCCACUUGCAGUGUCUGCAUCCUAUUUGGGCACUGGUUCGAGGCCCGGCCGCUCCACUUCUGAUCCAGCUCUCUAUGGCCUGGGAAAGCAGUAGAAGAUGGCCCAAGUCCUUGGGCCCUGGCACCCACAUGGGAGACCCAGAGAGACUCUUAGCUCCUGGCUUCAGAUCAGUGCAGCUGCGGCCCUUGUAGCCAUCUGGGGAAUGAAUGAUUGACCUCUUUCUACCCCUGCCUCUCUGUAACUCUGCCUUUCAAAUAAAUAAAUAAAUCUUAAAAAAUUAUUAAACUUUGUAAAAUUGUAAACUUUGCACUAACAAAACACUGACAACCCAAAUAAAAAUACUAGCAGAGCUAACUUCACUGGCAUUUGUACCCCGUAUCACAUGCAGAUGAUUUUAGGCCUUAUUUGAUCCUGAAACAUGUAGAUUCUCACAAACGUUAGCUUCUACCAGAAGCCAGCUUCACCAGAACUGAAGCUGUGUUUCUCUGUGUAUCCUUCACACACACCCCCAGCAUCGCUGGGUGGUAGAUACUGAAGCUACUAGCCAGCCACCUGCUACUUGAACAGAAGGAAAGUGCUUUGAUAAGAUUCUUUUCUUUCUAAUUUUUCUUCCUCCUUUUUUCCUCCUCCUUUCCUUUGCAAGUCUUUUUCAUUAUUUUGUGAAAAAUAUUGCCCUUGGUAACUUCAACACGUUACCACCCAGUAAGAAUUGCACAUGAAGCAGCACUGUUUCCCCACGAUGCUGCUGUUCCCAUUCCUCCAGGCACGCCUGAAGGAGUGCAUGUUACACAAGCACUCAUUGUGGCCUGAGAAGUUCUUGAAUCCAUGAUGCUGUUGAUAUGCAACUCUUGAAAAUGUCAAGGUUCUAUUACCCUGGCAAGUUCUAGUUUGGGAGAUAUUCUGCAGUGUUCCAAGGUUAAGUGACAUUUAUUAUUCUUAUGCUUUGUUAGCCCUUAAAUGCAAUAAAGAAAUGAAGAGGGGCUAUUUUAAUCCACUUUUAAAUUUCGGCUUCUGUUCACCUAUUCAUUGGGUAGUGUGUGAUAAUGUGUUAAUGCUACAUCUGUACUUGAACCAACAGAGAGGGAGCAGGUUGAUUUUCUAUUUUGAUUUAUUCGAAAUGUGGUUAUAGUGAGGCUUUUAUAUUAAAAUUCAUCUGAGCAUACAGUAAACAGAAAAAAAGAGCAACAGUAGCCAGUUGUCAAGGAAGAGACUGAUGGGUAGAAUAAACAGACGCCUUUCUGCAAUAUAAACAAUCUGUUUUCAUAGUUUUUCUUUUUCCUUGUUUUUUUGAAGGAGGAUUGGGAGAACAUCCAAACUAAGUAGAAGUUAGUUAAAUGUGUAAAGCAGUAAGCCCACGAUGUGUAAGUGAUUAUCACAUAUUGUUUCUUCAGUGACUUUAAUAACAGAAAUGUUAGUCACUUGAUAGAAACGCAUUGUCUGGUGUAGGUGGUCCUGGCUGGUGGUGGCUUUGACGUAUUUUGGGGACUUAUCACCCUUAGAAAAUAGAAAGUGGUAUAGAGAUUCGUAAAUAGUUCUGUACUUAGACCAGGUAUCCCCCAGAUUAAGGGGGGCAGAUAUGUCUGUAUGUAAAAUACUAUCAUGUAAAGAGUACAAGAGGCAACUUCCUUUUUUUAAAAGAAAAAUUAUUUGAAAGGCAGAGUUCCAGAGAGGGAGACAGAUUUUUCAUCUGCUGGUUUACUCCACAAAUGCCUGCAACAACCAGGAUUUGGGUCAGGUAGACUCUGGGAGCCAGGAACUCCAUCCAGGCCUCUCACAUUGGUGCUAGGAGCUCAAGUACGUGGGCUGCUCCUUCCAGGUGCAUCAGCAGGAAGCUGGAUCAGGGAUGGAGUAGCUGAGACUUGAACCAGGUGCUCUGACACGGAACACAGAUGGUCCAAGCAGUUAACCCACUGCGCUGCGAUGCCUUUUACAACUCUGAUUUUUAUUGUAAUUCAGAGCUUGUUUCUCUCCAAAGAAAUAUUUUAGAAUUUGUAGGCCAUAUAAGGCCUCUGUUGCUUAGUACCUUUUGAAAAUGUAAAAAAUUGGAAUGGAUGUCGAACCUAGUAAUGAAGCUUGCUGCAAUUUUUGUAUCCCGUUUCAGUGUGGGUUUGAUUCCCAGCUCUGGCUUCUGAACCCAGCUUCCUUCUAAAGCAGAUCCUGUGAAAUAGGGAUGAUAGUUUAAGUAUUAGGUUAUUCUCCUGGCAGAGGGGAGCGCUCUUGAUCUCACUGUCUCUCUCUUAAAUAAAUAAAUAGCCUUAGUGUUGCAUGGAAAUGGACUAACUCCUGUUUUUGUUGGUCAGGUAAAGCAGGUACCUUUAAAAAUUAGUAGCUAGGUUCAGUUGUUUUAGAUGUGAGCCAUACUAAAUACACUAAAUGAGCAUAUACUGAAGUAAUUCAAGUAGAGUUUCAAAUAAUUUCUCUUCAUAUGAAAUUUCAUUGAGGUAAAAAUGGCCGUCACAGAUUAAAUAAAAACUGUUGUGGCUCUAUACCUAAGAUACAUUAGUGUUUCCAGUCUUAACAGAUGUUCCAUCUGGUUUAGAAAGAUUGGGAUCUAGAUUUGUGACCAUAGCUAAUGAAACUUUGACAAAGCCAUGUCCUGUACUUGAGGACCUUAUUGAGCACUGUUCUCCAAGUUAACUAUUCCUAAAAGUGAUACCUGGUUGUUAUCUGUUACAUGUAUAGACCACCAAAUAUAAUAACUAAGCAAUGUGCAAAUUUAUACCUAACUUGGAAAUUUACACUGAAUCUUUGUGUACUGAUACAUACUGAAUUCUAUUAUAAUGUAUCUUAGUAACCCUUGGGAAUGGAUUGAAGUUACUUAAAAAUUUCUUUCAGGUGUUAAUUAUAUAAAUAUGACUUAAAUUUAAAACUGAACCUAAAAUGACUUCAUAAGUAUGUUUUAUGAAUUCUUAUAGAAAUCCAUACAGUAUUUGAAAAACAGAGUACCAUUGAUGUCUUUGAAUACCUCUUCUGGUAAUUUUGAGUAUGAGCUGAACUACAUUUUCUGGUUUUUUUUUUUGUUUGUUUUAAGAUUUAUUUAUUUGAGGCACCAUGGCUCACUAGGCUAAUCCUCCGCCUUGUGGCGCCGGCACACUGGGUUCUAGUUCUGGUUGGGGCGCCGGAUUCUGUCCCAGCUGCCCCUCUUCCAGGCCAGCUCUCUGCUGUGGCCCAGGAGUGCAGUGGAGGAUGGCCCAAGUCCUUGGGCCCUGCACCCGCAUGGGAUACCAGGAAAAGCACCUGGCUCCUGGCUUCAGAUCAGCACGAUGCGCCGGCCGCAGCGCGCGGGCCGUGGCGGCCAUUGGAGGGUGAACCAACGGCAAAAGAAAACCUUUCUCUCUGUCUCUCUCACUGUCCACUCUGCCUGUCAAAAAAUAAAAAAAUAAAAAAAAUAAAAAAGAUUUAUUUGAAAGGCAGAGUUAGGGGAAGACAGAGAGAUGGAGAUGGAGAUGGAAGAGAUAGAGAUAAUGGAGAUGGAGAGGGUGGAUCUUCUAUCCUCUUGUUCAGUUCUCAAAUGGGUGCAACAGCCAGGGCUGCACUAGGUUGAAGCUGGGAGCCUGGAACUCCAUGCAGGUCUCCCACAUGGGUGACAGGGGCCCAAGCACUUGGGCCAUCUUCUGCUGGUUUUUCCCGGGCCAUAGCAGAGAGCUGGAUGGGAAGUGGAGCAGUAGGACUUGAACUGGUGCCUGUGUGGGAGCCGGCACUGUAGAAGUGGCUUUACCUGCUAUGCUACAAUGGCGGUCCAAGCUUGUUUCUUCUUAAAAAGCCAAAAUCAGUGACCUCUGUGGCUACAAGUAGUACCUUCUCAGACUAUAUUGUACUUGAGAAAUUAAACCGUAAAUUAUAAUUAGAAUGAAAACUAUACACUGAUUCUUAUAAUAGACUCUAUUUGGUGAAAUAGAUCAACUAGACAUUGUGUGUGAGGUAAUUGUGUAGUUGAUGUUAUUAAUGUGAGUUUAAUACUUUGCAUCAUAUUUUCUUGUAUUAUCUACUGCUGCCUUUUACUUACUUUCAAGCUUGCAUCUGUUGUAGCCAGGAGAUGUUAUCACCCUGACUACAAAUGGUGCUUACCCCUUACUAUUGUAAUAGGUCACUGGUUGGUUCUGUUUGAGCUUGUCUGAAAUAAAUACUGUUACUGCUGAAAAUGUUAUCUUUAUACUGUAUUUAAAACUGUACUCCUGAGUCUUUCCAGUUUAUAAGGCCCACUUGGGUGGGGUCUCCAAAAAUCUUACUCAGUGACCUUAUGGUGAUAUUCAUCAGUGCAGAUUUUAGGAUCUAUUCUUAAGACCAAAUAAAAAAUAAAUUGGCUAACCUCACAUUAUAGCUGGUCUUGAUUAGCACAGAUGUAACCAUUGUAAAGCUGUGAUCUGGAAACCAGAAAAUAACCAGCUGAUGAAUAUGUGGGCAAAUUGGAAGCCUUGUGCACUGUUGGUGGCAAUGUAAAAUGGUGUGGUUGCUUUGGAAAACAGUAUGGUGAUUCCUCAAAAAGUUAAACAUGAAAUUGCUAUAUGACCCAGGAAUCCUAUUUUUGAGUAUAUUCAAAAAAGAAUUAAAGCAGGGUCUCGGAUUAUUAUACACCCAUAUCAUAGCAGUAUCAUUCGUAAAAGCCAAAGGGUGGAUAUAACCCACAUUUCCAUCAGCAGAUACAAAAUGUGGUCUGCACAUACAGUGCAAUAUUAGCCUAAAAAGAAAGGAAAUUUGACAUAGACCACAACAUAUAUAAGACUGUUUCAUAAUAUAACCUAUUUUUAAAGAUGACUUAUUGAUUUGAAAGAGAGGGAGAAACACAGAGAGAGAGAGUGAUAUCUUCCAUUCGCUGGUUCACGCUCCAGAUGGCCCCAAUAGUCAGGGCUGGACUAGGCCAAAGCCGGGAACUAGGAGCUUCCUUUGGGUCUCCCACAUGUGUGGCAGGGGCCCAAACACUUGGGCCAUCUUCUGCUGCUUCUCCCAGUCACAUGGGAGAGCUGGAUUUGAAAUAGAACAGCCAGGACAUGAACUGACACACAUGGGAUGCCGUGUGGCAGGUGGCAGCUUUACCUGCUCCACCACAACGCUGGCCCUAAUAUACAUGAAGCUUUUUGGCUCAUUUGUAAAUUCUCAAAGUUCUAUAUUAACCCUUUAGGUUGCUGCAAGUCAGUCCUAGAGCUGAUAAACUGAAAAAGUUAGGCUGGAGUAGACUGAUUUCGCUGUUGAGUAUGUGAAAUUGCUAGUUUGGAAUCUUUGUUUGUGGUUUGUUUUCCGUAAGCUCUGGCUCCCAGCAGAAUGUGGCUCUGUGCUUUGCUUUCUGUGUGACAAGGAUCACUUGGCUCUGUUGAAAUCAAGUGGGAUGGGCUCCCUUGUGUCUGGCUCUGGUUGGGAGGGACCUCAGACUCUGCCUCUCCAGUUCAGAGGACUCAGUUGACUGUGCCUUUGCAGCUUGGAGGGGGCUUUAGGUGGAGCCAUUGUAGUGGUUUACUGCCAGGGCUGCCAGAACAGAACACCUCCAAGCAGGCAGUUUAAAACAGCGGAAGUGUCUUCCCUCUCGGUGUGCAGGCUGGAGGUCCACAGUCGAGGUGUGAGCAGGGCUUCCUCUCAGAUGCCAGGUAGGAUCUUCCCAUGUCCCUUCCUAGCUCUGGUGGUGGUUCCCUGAGUUGCACCUGCAUGACAUCUACCACUGGCAUCUUGUCCCUGGAGUUUUCCCUCUAUGUCUGUCUGUGUCCAAAUUUCUCUUUUAUCAGGAAGCCAGCCAUUUUGGAUUAAGGGUCCGUUAUGACCUCUUUUUUUUUUUUGCAUAAUCACCCUAUUUCCAAAUGAACUUGCAUUUUGAGGUGUAGGGGAUUUGAACUUCCACAUAACUUUGGGAGACAAUAAUUCAAGCCACAACACUUGUGCUGUUUUUCUCUUCUGUAACAUGUUUUUUUAAAAAAAUUAUAGUUGGUCCAAUGUCAAUCUUAACUAAAAAAUGAAGGUAGUUUGUUUUCUUGAAGUUCGGGAAUGGGUAACCCUUCAGGUAGGGAAAUGAUGUGUUUAUGGAAACGUACUGUAAAGCAGGUUGUGAGACAAGUGAAUGGGCGGCUUCACUACAGGGAAGUAGGACAGAGUCUUCGGGGCUGACUUGUUAGGAAUGAGGUCACACAACCGGCUGCACCUUGCUGCAUGUUGUUUUAAGUGGGCCUUCGCUGUCUGCUCCGGUAACCCUGUGGGUAAUGCGUUUUCUCACUUGCCACAGUGCCAUAGGCUCAGGCUUUAGAGUGGACCACUGAAUUCUCUCCGCCUUAGUUUCCCCAUCCGUAGGAUGGAGCUUUGCCUCCCUGGCAAGGGCACAGCAAGUUGGGAGGAGAUAACGUGGGCACCGUGUCUGUUGGCUCUGUGUGUGUUGUCCCCCUUCUCUUCACUGGCCACACAAGAAGUGGCUCUUGGUGGUGUCGUUGGGCUUUGGUGCUCUGCCAACAGGAACGUCUUUGCUCCUGAGAUGCCAGAUUUUGUCCAGGGCUCAAAAAGUAGUUGCCAGGAAGAUGGCCAGAGGAGGCCUCUUGCUCCACCUAGAGGCUUUGUGGGAAGUUUCUCAGGGAAAGGGCCUCCUGCUUGAUGAAGAUGUGUGGAUGGCUGGGAGUCCUAGGAGGCCUCACUAAUGCAGUGCUAUGGUGUAGUGGUGCUCCAUCUGCCUCUCCCCAGGUGUUUGCAUAGGCCUUGGAUUUGGGACAUGGGGAGUAUGGGGGCAGGAUCUUAAUGUUUAGAAAAAGAAUUUUACAUAAAAUUUGACUUGACAUAAUUUAAAAAUUAAUUUUAUUUUCUUUAUUUGGAAGGCAGAGAGAGAGAGAGAGAUCGAUCAAUCUUCCAUAGGCUGAUUAACUCCCCAGUUGCCCCCAGCAGAAAGGACUGGGCUAGGCCAAAGCUGGGAACUCAAUCUGGAGUCUCAUGGCUGUGGCAGGGACCCAGCACUUGAACCAUCACCUACUGUCUUCCUGGGUACACAGAAGCAGUAAGCUGCAUCAGAAGUGGAGCCAGGACUCAGAUCUGGGGAUUCUGAUACAGGAUAUGCGUGUCCCCAAGUGUUGACUUAACCCCUACCAAACCCCUGCCCCAAUUUUAAAUUUUUAAGAAGUGUGCACAUUAUUUUAUAAACAGCAUAGUUUAAUAAAUACUCAUUACCAGUAUAUUUGAAGCAAUUUUUCCCCUUUCCAGUUACAACAUCAUGCAUAUGCUUUCUUUUGGAGGACUUUAAGAUUUAUUUAUUUAUUUGAAAGGCAGAGUUACAGAGAGGCAGAGAGAGACAGAGACAGAGAUCUUCCAUCUGCUGGUACACUCCCCAGAUGGCUGCAGUGGCUGGAGCUGAGCCAAUCCGAAGCUGGGACCCAGGAGCUUUUUCUGGGUCUCCCAAGCAGGUACAGGGGCCAGAGGACUUAGGCCAUCUUCCACUGCUUUCCCAGGCUGUAGCAGGAGCUGGAUUGGAAGUGGAGCAGCCAGGACUCGAACCAGCACCCCAUAUGGGAUGCCGGCCCUGCAGGCGGUGGCUUUACCUGCUGUGCCACGCACCAGCCCCAGGACUUUAUUCUUGACAUGUGGACAUAACACAUUUUCACUCAUCGGUUAUUGCAUGUAAAAGGCCACUUAGCUAAAUCUGUUUCUGAUUUUGUAAUUUGGAAAUGAUAAUAAUUUUACUAAUCUUAAAAUGUUUAUAAAGAUCAAUACAGAGGAUUUAGAUGUGUUAGUAGUUGGAUUAGAUAAUUUCUCAGAUUUAUUUCAACUGUGAGUUUCUUUGAUUUUUGAAAAUUGGCUCACAUUUAAAGAUGCUAAGUUUGGACACAUGCAGUACGUAACUUUGGGACCUUGUAAAAUGAGUUGUAUGAGGGCAUUUGUUUCACAUUCACAGAGCAGUGUAUAUGUGUGAGUGCAGGGUAUCUCACUCUUAUGGUCAGGAGUCGGUAUUUGUGGGGCUCUAAGUGUAUUGUUUUUGAGAAGGCUGGAAUUGCAAACUUGUGUUCUGCUAGGCAUGUUACACUGUUUGUACAGUAUAAACAGAUAGAUCCUGAAAUUGGCUGAAGAGUACCCUGCAUACUCAUGGCCUUCAGAUGGACAGUGUAUUUUGCAAAGUGUGGUGUCUGUGUUGAGAUAUCACUGUCUGGUACGAGAAGGAAGCAUAGAGAACAGGGUAUAAAAAUCAUAUAUUGCUGGGGCCAGCGAUGUGGCAUAGUGGGUAAAGCCUCCACCUGCAGUGCUGGCAUCACACAUGGGCACCUGUUGGAGUCUUGGCUGCUUCACUUCUGAUCCAACUCUCUGCUGUGGCCUGGGAAAGCAGUAGAAAAUAGCCGCAGGUCCUUGGGCCCCUGUACCUGCUUGGGAGACCUGGAAGAAGCUCCUGACUCCUGGCUUUGGAUCAACCCAGCUCCAGCCAUUGCGGCCAUUUGUGGGGUGAACCAGUGGAUGGAACGGAUGGAAUACUUUCUCUCUCUCUCUCUCUCUCUCUCUCUCUCUCUCUCUCUCUGCCUCUCUGUAGCGCUGCCUUUCAAAUAAGUAAAUAAAUAUUUUUAAAAAGCGUAUAUUGCUUUAAAAGAAAUAAUUAUCUUCAAGUAGGUAACUAGAAAUUUGAGAACUUAAUAGAGGGACCUGAAGAGUAGAUCUUGAAACAAAUUUUCUUGUCUAAACCCUUCCCCCAAUUUUUUUUUUAAAGUAAAAUUUCACUUAUGUGACUUAAGGCAAAGGAGACUCUAAUACUCUUACUUUGAGGCUCUGGUUGAAUAUUCUCCUGUCCAGAGGUGGAUGAUAGGAGGCUGAGGCUGUGAAAAUACCCUUGGGUUGUCCAUUUUCUUGUGUGUCACUGGAGAUUGUGGUAUGAGAUCAUGAGAAGAGCCGUAGCCCUUGCUUGGGAGACCUCAGGUGAGAGCUGGGCCUGGGAGAAUGCCACAGGCAGGGUCUGUGCCCCAUAAAUCGGUGUCACCUCUGAGCGGAUGAGUAAGCGACUGAAAGAAGGCACUUUGCGUUCCUUGCAACAGUCACCACCACUUUGUUCCUUGCAUCAAAGGAAAGAACAGAAUGUCUAAUUAUAAUAAUCUUCUAUUAAUUACAAUAUUUUGCAGUCGUUUUCUUUUAAAAAUCUAUUUGAGUAACUACUAGCCUUCAGAAGCUGUUGGAAAAUAGUAUUUAGGCAGCAGCUGGCAGCUCCCAGUGUUGGAAUCUGUAGUGCUGAGCUCGUGAGAGAUUCCAUUAGUUGGACAUACACUUUGAUGUCCUUACUGCCGCUGCAACGCAUUCUUGUGAGCAGCUGUUUUGGAAGGGGACACACAGUAAGCAUUUCCACACUUGUUUCAAGGAUGUGGGUUUUGCUGGAGUGUUGCCUGCCAUCUGGAAGGGAGAAGAGUGAGUGACUUAUUCCCAGAAAGGAAGGACUUGCCGUCUCCAUGUGUGUUCUCAGUGCACGUGGAGGUCCUCCCUUCAUUUCCCGUUCCCUGAGAGGAUAACUGACAGCUGCAGUCAUUUUGGCAUGUCAGAGCCUUAGCGGUGAGCUACAUGGAACACAGCAUUUGCAGAUGUGUGCUUUCCACUGGAUCUGCUCAGUGCUUCUAAUUUUCAAAACAGUGUUUUUCAUAGUGUCUAUUGAAACAGUAUUUUCGUUUAAAAUUUUUUUUCAAAUACUUCUCUCUUUUUUUUUAAGAUAAGAUUUACUUAUUUAUUUGACAGGCAGAAUUACAGAGGAGAGAUGGAGAGCGAGAGCUCUUCCAUCCCCUGGUUUAUUCCUCAGAUGGCUGUAACAGCUGGGCGUGGGCCAGGCCAAAGUCAGGGACCAGAAGCCUCAUCCGGAUCUCCCACAUGGGUGCAGGGGCCCAAAUACUUGGGCUGUCUUCCACUGCUUUCACAGCAGGGAGGGAGGUGGAUUGGAAGUGGAGAGGCCAGGACUGGAACCUGCAUCUGGUUGUUGACGUCAUAGGCAGCAGCUCAAUCCGCUAUAUGCCAUGAGGUGGGUCCUGAAACGGCAUUUUUAAGCAAAAGAAGAUUUGAUGUCAUCAACAAGUGAGACAAAAAUGCUUCCAUGUGUAAAAUAACAUAUGAAAGUCCUCCCUUUUUCCUAAAGCACGUGAGGGUCACUGUUGUCAGGGAGCAGCCAGGUUUGUCGCUUGUGCUUUAUUUUGUUUGGGUCCCAGCCAAUAAUUAAAUACUCCAUGUGUGUGUAAUAGCAGGUGCACAAUAGUUGGAGAGAGCAGUGGCAUUAAGGGACUGGUGGAGGUAGGUGGAGUACAAGAAAAUCCUCCUUAAAUGAGACAGCUGGCCAGGAGAUGGCUCAGCUGUAAUCGGAAUGGCAGCCACCUUAGCUUGAGGGUCUCCUAGGUGCAGGGCAUUAAUUGCUCUGCAUAGUAUGUAUAUCUCACUGAAUCCUGACACCAACCCUGGGGGUAACUACUGCCCCAUUUUACAGAUGGGGAAACAAGCAGAGAAAUGAACAACUUGCCCAGUGUCAUACAGCUUAGUAAGAGAUUCCAAUUUAGCCAGUCUGGAUCCAGAGUCAUGUUCUUACAGUGUUGUGCCAUCUUGGAAACACAGCUCUGGACUCUGAAGCUAUUGUAUUUUUAAAAUUAUACCGUUAGGUCCCCAAAUCAGGCAAAUGAAGUAAAUGAAAAUUAUCAGUAUGUUGAUGACUUAAGUAGCAGGUAAGAGAUUUUAUGGGAUUGUUAAAUAUUUACAGCAUGACAAAGCGCCAGUGUUGCUAGACUGCCUGCAGGAAUCUGUCCCUCUUAGGAGCUGGCUUGGGUAAAGGAAAUGUUUUCCCCAGACAUCUUCUGUAGUGUUGCAUUCUUGUAUCUUUCUGUGGGACCUGCCUGCUUGCUGGCUUUUGCUGCUGCUGAGUAGGCAAACAUACCUAGAGAGCGCCAUGGAAUAAGCUGUGCAAUUCAACGUUGAUUUAAGUGGAAGCUUUUUUGGUGAUUCAAAAAAGGAAAAAAAUACCUUCCUGUCUAUAUUUCCAUUCCUGGCACCUAAACCCAGCCUGUUUUACUUGGGGAUAGGCAUGGGGAUGUGGAAAACACUGAGAACAGGGGAGGUGAAUGUUGCUUUGAUAAUCAAGUGACUUCCAUGAGAAGCUAUUGUGGAGAAAAGGACAUUUCUUGUGGAUAUUGUGUAUAUAUAUAUAUAUAUAUAUAUAUACACA